GCCCUACGGGAGGCUGCAGUGGGGAAUCUUCCGCAAUGGGCGAAAGCCUGACGGAGCAAUGCCGCGUGAGUGAUGAAGGAAUUCGUUCCGUAAAGCUCUUUUGUUUAUGACGAAUGUGCAGAUUGUAGAUAAUGAUCUGUAAUGACGGUAGUAAACGAAUAAGCCACGGCUAACUACGUGCCAGCAGCCGCGGUAAUAAGUAGGUGGCGAGCGUUGUCCGGAAUUAUUGGGCGUAAAGAGCAUGUAGGCGGUUUUGUAAGUCUGGAGUGAAAAUGCGGGGCUCAACCCCGUAUGGCUCUGGAUACUGGAAGACUUGAGUGCAGGAGAGGAAAGGGGAAUUCCCAGUGUAGCGGUGAAAUGCGUAGAUAUUGGGAGGAACACCAGUGGCGAAGGCGCCUUUCUGGACUGUGUCUGACGCUGAGAUGCGAAAGCCAGGGUAGCGAACGGGAUUAGAUACCCCUGUAGUC
This 467-nucleotide ribosomal RNA is filed under the name uncultured Phascolarctobacterium sp. Its description in RNAcentral is "bacterial SSU rRNA". It matches the Rfam family "Bacterial small subunit ribosomal RNA", at positions 335 to 795 of the family's 1533-position model. Lineage: Bacteria; Bacillati; Bacillota; Negativicutes; Acidaminococcales; Acidaminococcaceae. The record is from RNAcentral.